RNAcentral lists this ribosomal RNA (583 nucleotides) under uncultured rumen bacterium. RNAcentral's name for it is "bacterial SSU rRNA". It matches the Rfam family "Bacterial small subunit ribosomal RNA", at positions 10 to 588 of the family's 1533-position model. The record is from RNAcentral.
AGAUUGAUCAUGGCUAGGGAUGAACGCUAUCACGGCUUAACACAUGCAAGUCGAGGGGCAGCAUGGGAGUUGCUUGCAAUUCCUGAUGGCGACCGGCGCACGGGUGAGUAACGCGUAUCCAACCUUCCCCUCAGUAGGGCAUAGCCCGUAGAAAUGCGGAUUAAUACCCUAUGCUGUCCGAUGAGGACAUCUGAGCUGGACGAAAGGUUUACCGCUGAGGGAUGGGGAUGCGUCUGAUUAGGUAGUCGGCGGGGUAACGGCCCACCGAGCCGUCGAUCAGUAGGGGUUCUGAGAGGAAGGUCCCCCACACUGGUACUGAGACACGGACCAGACUCCUACGGGAGGCAGCAGUGAGGAAUAUUGGUCAAUGGGCGAGAGCCUGAACCAGCCAAGUAGCGUGCAGGAUGACGGCCCUACGGGUUGUACACUGCUUUUAUGCGGGGAUAAGUGAGGGACUUGUCCCUUUUGCAGGUACCGCAUGAAUAAGGACGGCUAAUCCGUGCCAGCAGCCGCGGUAAUACGGAAGGUCCGGGCGUUAUCCGGAUUUAUUGGGUUUAAAGGGAGCGCAGGCCGGUGUGUAGCG